UUCGCAAUGCCCGAAAGGGUGACGAAGCGACGCCGCGUGGGUGAGGAAGGCCUUCGGGUUGUAAAGCCCUGUCAGGAGUUAAGAAAUGUAAGUGCGCUAAUAUCGCAUUUAUUUGACGAAGGCUCCAAAGGAAGCCACGGCUAACUCUGUGCCAGCAGCCGCGGUAAUACAGAGGUGGCAAGCGUUGUUCGGAAUUAUUGGGCGUAAAGAGCACGUAGGUGGGUUUGUAAGUCAGAUGUGAAAGCCUUCUGUUCAACGGAAGAAUUGCAUCUGAAACUGCAGGUCUUGAGUGUAGGAGGGGAGAAUGGAACUUCUGGUGGAGCGGUGAAAUGCGUAGAUAUCAGAAGGAACGCCGGCGGCGAAAGCGAUUCUCUGGCCUAUUACUGACACUCAGUGUGCGAAAGCUAGGGGAGCAAACGGGAUUAGAUACCCCGGUAGUCCUAGCCGUAAACGAUGGGCACUAAGUAGAGGGGUUUU
RNAcentral lists this ribosomal RNA (477 nucleotides) under Candidatus Scalindua brodae. RNAcentral describes it as "bacterial SSU rRNA". It matches the Rfam family "Bacterial small subunit ribosomal RNA", at positions 365 to 832 of the family's 1533-position model. The record is from RNAcentral. Lineage: Bacteria; Pseudomonadati; Planctomycetota; Candidatus Brocadiia; Candidatus Brocadiales; Candidatus Scalinduaceae.